RNAcentral lists this unclassified non-coding RNA (1609 nucleotides) under Hevea brasiliensis (rubber tree). The record is from RNAcentral. Lineage: Eukaryota; Viridiplantae; Streptophyta; Magnoliopsida; Malpighiales; Euphorbiaceae.
AAGAGUCUGAUUUUAAUCUCAAUUGAAAUCACCGAUUUUAUUCUGGAGCCGACCGCAGGUGUACAUGGAAAGAUGAUGUCAAGUUAAAUCGGCAUUUCACCUUUCAAAAGAUUCUACAAUCUGGCCUGCAAUACCUAAACGUAGCGAACUGCUAAAAGCCUGGCAAGGCCAGAAAUUAAAAUAUUAUAGGCAUGAUCCCUAUCCCUCGUGUUCUACAAAUAUCCACCCCAUAAACACGAAAUAUUUUGAAAUUCCCUGAAUUUUUUACUCUUUAACAUUUCAUGCUGAUUAAUUUAGACUCCAUUAACUUCAAUAAUUUAAUGAUACAUUAAAGUAUUAAAAAAAUUUAUGCUCACAUAGUUACUACGUGAUUAGACCUAUCAUUCGAUAAAAAUGAAACGUCAACCUAUAUAAUUAAAAUCCCCAAAUGUACACCACAUUACGAGAGCAUGCGGGAGAGAGCAGAGGGGGGCAUUCUCCAGUCCAGGUACUCAAUAGGUGCAUAUCUGUAUACCUGCCACAGAAAGCUUUCGACGCUAGGCAGUUUUCCCAGCUUAGGAAAUUUUAAGCCAGUUCAAAUAUUCGAGCAUUCCUUAAAACUCGAGGAAAAACAUAUAACAAAAUAUCCAAACGAAGAGCAACCCUUAUUGUGCAAAAAAGUUCGCUUCACUUUAUGAGACCAAACAAAGCAUACACAACUUUUAGAUAACAAAGCCAAACCAGCCAAAAGUACAUUAUGAUUUGUUCUUUUAUUCAAAUGAGUUCUGGCCUCCUAACUUUCUACUAGAGUUGUCCAGCUAGCGCAUAUAUCAGCUGCCUUUUGUCUUAUUAUGGAUCUCAUGGGCAGCAUUCUAUCCUUGCAAACCAAUAAUACCGCAUGCUGCUCUGCCACCAGCAUUUCCAGUGGUUUUGCUAAGUUCAUGUCCCCCUGGAUACAAAAAUGAAAUGAGCCAUGAACAUUUCUUGCAUUCAUCAGGCAAUAAAUGACUAAAAUGCAGAAUAGAAAUUAAGUCUUGUUGAUAAGGCAAUUAGCUAUCAUGGUUAAGUAGGUAACUUGUAUGUCGGAUAUUCUCUCUAGGGAAGGAGGUGGACUAGCAGAGAGUCACUUCAAUGCAUCAAGCAGACUAAAUCUGAUGCAAAGAUUAUGCGAGUCCCCCUAGAACUAGCUUUUAGAGAUAAGUUAGAACCGACUCAUUUACUCAAGAUAGUAUCAAAGCCCCACCAACCAAUGUUUAGGCCUUUCACAAAUGUUUCCCGCUCUAGGUGUUUAAUCCUCCGCGUAAGGAGAGUGUGUUAAUAUCCCAAGUUAGUUUGAAUAGGGGUAAUGUGCCCCUUAUAAAUUAGAUCUGACCCAUUUUCUUAAAACUUCCUUAUCCCACAGUUGGAAUAUUGGAAACACAAUUCAAACUCAAUCAAGAAGCAGAAACCAAUUUACUCAUCAUUGACAAAAUAAAGCAGCAACUAAGCAAGGCUAAAAAAAAGAUUUCAAAGCUGAGAAUUUAAAGUUUACCCUUGCCAAGAUCAUCAGGAUCCGAAUGAACUACAACUGCCCUUCCAAUAAUGGAAUUCGGGCCAGAAAGUGGAAUGUGCUUGUCAACAAUUGUGAAAC